GGAUGGUCAGCCACACUGGGACUGAGACACUGCCCAGACUCCUACGGGAGGCCGCAGUCGAGAAUCAUCCUCAAUGGACGAAGUCUGAAGGAGCGACGCCGCGUGCAGGAUGAAAGCCUUCGGGUUGUAAACUGCUUUUGUAUGGAAAGAAGUUCUAUUGUCUAAUAUAUGGUAGAAUUGACGGUACCAUGCGAAUAAGCCACGGCCAACUCCGUGCCAGCAGCCGCGGUAAUACGGAGGUGGCAAGCGUUACUCGGAAUUAUUGGGUGUAAAGGGCAAGUAGGCGGUCUAUUAAGUGAGGGGUGAAAUCUUCCGACUCAAUCGGAAAACUGCCCUUCAAACUACUAGACUUGAGGUUGGAAGAGGGAAACGGAAUUAGCAGUGUAAGGGUGAAAUCUGUAGAUAUUGCUAAGAACACCAGCGCGAAGGCGGUUUCCUGGUCCAAAUCUGACGCUAAAUUGCGAAAGCUAGGGUAGCAAACAGAAUUAGAUACUCUGGUAGUCCUAGCUGUAAACGAUGAGCACUAGGUGUUGGGUCUCACGACUCAGUGCCGCAGCUAACGCAUUAAGUGCUCCACCUGGGGACUACGGCCGCAAGGCUAAAACUCAAAGGAAUUGACGGGGACCCGCACAAGCGGUGGAACAUGUGGUUUAAUUCGAUGCUACGCGAAGAACCUCACCAGGGCUUGACAUGUAUGAAGUAGUGAACUGAAAGGGGAACGACCCGUAAAAUCGGGAACUUACACAGGUGCUGCAUGGCUGUCGUCAGCUCGUGUCGUGAGAUGUUGGGUUAAGUCCCGCAACGAGCGCAACCAUUGCCCUAUGUUGCCACCUGAGUAACUUGCUAUGCAAGUUGCUUAGCGCACUCUUAGGGGACUGCCCGGGAUAACCGGGAGGAAGGUGGAGAUGACGUCAAGUCAGUACGGCCUUUAUGCCCUGGGCUACACACGUGUUACAAUGGCUGGUACAAAGGGUUGCCAACCCGCGAGGGGGAGCUAAUCUCAAAAAGCCAGCCUCAGUUCGGAUUGGAGUCUGCAAUUCGACUCCAUGAAGCCGGUAUCGCUAGUAAUGGGAGAUCAGCUCGCUCCCGUGAAUACGUUCCCGGGUCUUGUACACACCGCCCGUCAAGCGAUGAAAGCUGGAAGUACCCGAAGUCCUAUGUAGAUAGGCCGAAGGUAAAGCCGGUGAUUGGCGCUAAGUCGAAACAAGGCA
Molecule: ribosomal RNA, 1211 nt
Filed under: metagenome
Description: bacterial SSU rRNA
Rfam family: Bacterial small subunit ribosomal RNA
Source: RNAcentral